AGCGAACGCUGGCGGCAGGCUUAACACAUGCAAGUCGAGCGGGCCCUUCGGGGUCAGCGGCGGACGGGUGAGUAACUCGUGGGAACGUGCCUUCUGGUUCGGAAUAACUCAGGGAAACUUUAGCUAAUACCGGAUACGCCCUUUUUGGGAAAGGUUUACUGCCGGAAGAUCGGCCCGCGUCUGAUUAGCUAGUUGGUGGGGUAACGGCCUACCAAGGCGACGAUCAGUAGCUGGUCUGAGAGGAUGAUCAGCCACACUGGGACUGAGACACGGCCCAGACUCCUACGGGAGGCAGCAGUGGGGAAUAUUGGACAAUGGGCGCAAGCCUGAACCAGCCAUGCCGCGUGAGUGAUGAAGGCCUUAGGGUUGUAAAGCUCUUUUAUCCGGGACGAUAAUGACGGUACCGGAGGAAUAAGCCCCGGCUAACUUCGUG
RNAcentral lists this ribosomal RNA (433 nucleotides) under uncultured bacterium. RNAcentral's name for it is "partial 16S ribosomal RNA". It matches the Rfam family "Bacterial small subunit ribosomal RNA", at positions 29 to 507 of the family's 1533-position model. The record is from RNAcentral.